CCAGACUCCUACGGGAGGCAGCCGUGGGGACUCUUGCACAAUGGGGGACCCCCUGAUGCAGCGACGCCGCGUGCGCGAUGAAGUAUUUCGGUAUGUAAAGCUCUAUCAGCAGGGAAGACGAUGACGGUACCUGACUAAGAAGCCCCGGCUAACUACGUGCCAGCAGCCGCGGUCCUACGUAGGGGGCAAGCGUUAUCCGGAUUUACUGGGGGUAACGGGAGCGUAGACGGCGAUGCAAGCCAGAUGUGAAAGCCCGGGGCUCAACCCCGGGACGGCAGGGGGAACGGGGGGGCGGGAGGGGCGGAGAGGCAGGCGGAAUGCCUAGGGGAGCGGUGAAAGGCGGAGAGAGUAGGAGGAACACCAGGGGCGAAGGCGGCCGGCGGGACGAGGACUGACGGGGAGGCGCGAAAGCGGGGGGAGCAAACAGGAGGAGAGACCCCCGUAC
This 445-nucleotide ribosomal RNA is filed under the name uncultured bacterium. RNAcentral describes it as "partial 16S ribosomal RNA". It matches the Rfam family "Bacterial small subunit ribosomal RNA", at positions 331 to 793 of the family's 1533-position model. The record is from RNAcentral.